UGGAAAUAGGUCCUGGUGAAUCAAAGGACUUUUGUAAAUGCUAAGAAUGUUUGUAAAAAACCUUGCCUCUGAUUCAGGAUGGUUUUACCACGUUCUUUGAAGGUGUUGUGUUGACCAUCUGACUUGUGUCAGCACUGUGUACACAGGUUGAGGAAUAUUCUGGAAUAGACUGCAUUCAUAAGAAGAACACUUAGUAUUUAUUAAAUCAGUGCAUAAUUCAAAAUAAAGGCAGAGUAAAUAGCGUAAGAAUUCACUUCCUUUGUACAGCCUGCUGGCACAAGUAGGAGGGCGGAAAGGGUUGACCAUGUUGAUUAAGAGUAAAGAGAAAAUUUAUAUAUAAAAACUGACUUCGAGUGUAUAAAAAUAUUUUAAGCCAUUAUGACAGCUGCUUGAAGAUUUCAAGUACUAGUAUAUACACAUAGAGAUGUUUUAUGCGAUUAUGCAUUUGUGUAUUUCACCAAGGCUGAUACAAACAGGGGUAAAGGAUUAUGUUAACUAUGGGAGUUGUUUAUAAUCUCUUGGCAGGUGAUUAGCCAGGUCUAAUCAGCUAUUUGAACAAAAGUCUCCCGUCUCCACUAGAUGUACCACAACCUGAGAGCUGAAAGAAACUUGAAAGAUUUUAUCAAGGCUCACCUUCUAUUACUAUAGGUAACUUGUGAAUAUCAUAAAUUCUUGUGAAGUUUAUAGUCUAUUUCAGCUCAAGAAUUAUACUCAGGCAGUAUUUUUACUUAAUUUAGAAAACAAGUAGGCUUUAAAAAGCAAUCUAAUUAGGGCUCCACUCUGUCUGCUUGUCAUGCUUCCCUGACUAAACAAUAGCUUUUGUCAAGUAUUUGGGCUGAUGGACAUGCAGUGUGAAAACAUUUGAAAAAGCAAAUUAGAAGACUGAUUUUUUAAAAGCACUUGAAACAUAGAACGAAGAUUUCGAAUGUAUGUCCACUUAAAUAAUUUAUGUUCAUAAUGUGAACAUGUAGAA
Molecule: long non-coding RNA, 973 nt
Filed under: Bos taurus (domestic cattle)
Lineage: Eukaryota; Metazoa; Chordata; Mammalia; Artiodactyla; Bovidae
Description: long non-coding RNA NONBTAT011302
Source: RNAcentral